This 2652-nucleotide long non-coding RNA is filed under the name Macaca fascicularis (crab-eating macaque). RNAcentral describes it as "lncRNA (ENSMFAG00000049507.1)". Lineage: Eukaryota; Metazoa; Chordata; Mammalia; Primates; Cercopithecidae. The record is from RNAcentral.
CUUUUUUUUUUUUUUUAACUAAUAGAAUGAAGUAGUUUUUCAUUUGGUUAAACCACCUCAAGUUCCUCUUCUGUAACUCCUUGAAUUCAGCUCAACUCCUUGAAUGUCUGAUACUAUUCAGAAGUAACCAAAAAGUAUUUGAGGACUUCUUGCUCAUCAUAAAUAAUGAUUAACUUAGAAUGUACUUCUCCUGUCUCUUAAAAUCACCAAUAUAAAAGACUACUUUGUAAAAAUAUAUAUAUUAUAAAAAUACAAGAGUAAUAAGUUCACAGCAGCACAGGAUAAACAGGAAAGAUACCAUCAGAAGAGCAUGAGGACUUCUGGGCCAAAGGGAGGGGAAAUGCCAUCAGGACUGACUGAAUGACAGCAAUACUAAGACGUAAAGGAAACUGCAACUUGAACCAAGCAAAAGAAGGAAACUCUAAAACUGUGAAUAUAACCAUAGAACCCCUAGGGGAGAACAAACUCAAAUUCAGACAUAAGGGAAGCUGGAUGUAGAAGCAGAAGUGAGCCCAGGACUGUCAGGAGAAUAAUUAGAGGCCUAUGGAACAGCUGCAUCCUCCAGUGUUCUCAGAAAGGCUAAGCUGUGAGAACAGCUCUCUAUAAUAAAGUGGAGGAUCAGCUGUGGGGGAACCACCCACAUAGGUGCUGGGACUACAGAACGAAGAAACAGCACCACACAUGACAAAGCACACACCCGCCUAGAAGGCAGCUGACUGAAUCCCUGGAGGUAUAUCCCUGGUAGCAGGACCAGCACUCCUGUACUCUGAAUUUACUUCCGGAAGAAUAAUUCCCACUUGUGCUGAGAAAACCCACUACAGUUACCACUCUGAUCACACAAUCAAAAAGUUCUCAAUCCUGGACGCACAUCACAAUCAUCUGCUAAGCUUUUUAGAAAUAUCAAUUGCCUGGGCCCCACCACGAUCCAAUUGAAUCAGUAUUUACAGAGGGAAGAGAGGCCCAGGCAUUUGUAUUUAAAUAUUCUUCAGAUAAUUUAAUGUGCCAUUAAGUAAUAACAAAUAAAAAUAGCCAAGGAAGCAGAAAAUAAUUGUAGUAUUCUCUGAAAGAUCUAUUAAGAUAUCAUUUCAAAGAUCUAUGGAGAUACUAAGGGAGAGGAAUAAUACUAAAAAGUUAUUACUGGGGAAUAAAAAACAAAGCUACUUUUUGUUUUGUUUUUGUUUUUUUAAGUAGAGAUGGGGUUUUACCAUGUUGGCCAGGCUGGUCUCAAACUCCUGACCUCAAGUGAUCCAACCACCUCAGCCUCCCAAAGGGCUGGGAUUAUAGGCAUGAGCCACUGCACCGGGCCAAAAAAGUUUUUUCAUCCUUCAACAGAGGUCUGAAUAGCAAAAGGGGCAUAACCAAAGACAAAAGCAGUGAUUUACAAGAUCAAACUGACGAAUUCUCCCAAACCAAGAAACAGGAAAUGAGAGGGGAAAGGAGGAUAAAUCUAGAUGAUCCAAUAUAUGUCUAACCUUUGUUUUAAAGGAGAGGAUAGAGGAAAAGAAAUUACCAAAGAAAUAGGACCAAAUAGAUCUGAGUUAAAGAGAUCCGAGCAUUUGGUUGAAAGGGUCUGCCAAGUUUACAUGGCGUAUAACGAUAUUGAAAAAAACUACCUAAAUAUAGCUUGGUGAAAUUUUUAAAUUACAAAAUAAAACUGAAAUCUAGGAACAUGCUACAGGUAGGAAGCAUGCUAACUGUAACAAAAGGAAAAUUGUAUUUGCACCAGACUUCUCAUCUGUAAUUUCAGAUGCUAAAACACAAAUGAAACAAUUUCUACGAAGUUUAAAAGGAAAACUAACUUUAAGCAUAGACUCUCAUAUUACCUAAAACUGUUACUUAAGUAUGAAGGCAAAAUAAAGUUACCUGGGGAUAUACAACUGCUCUAUGAAGUUCACCACUGUGUUCUUUGGGGGAAAGUAGGAAGAGACUCAAAGGUGUACUGUAGCAAAUUAAAUUUGAAUCCAAGAAAUAAAAGAUUUGGAAUACAAGAAGCAGAGCUGAACAACAACAAAAAAAGGCUUAAAACUCUACUCCACAAUUAUCGAUAAAAUAGACACUAGGUGAAGUGCAACUGCUAAUAAGAAUUAUUGAAACAAAAAAGAUAAUGUCGAAAAUUAAUGAGAAACUUUGAAAAAUAGCUGGGAGUAGGAAAGAGUAGUAGACAAAAAAUCUUUUCUUAUUUGUGGAAGAACCAAAGACGGUAAUUAAAUUUUGAUGCUUACAGAGAAAGUUCAGUUCAAAUAAAAGGAUGACUUCCUCCAGGAACUGGAAGGAUGAUGGUGAAUGGAGGUGAGUGCAACAUGAGGUUAAUUAGUCCACAGCCACGUCACAUAUCACCUUGCAAACAGUGACGGGUGUUUAAACAUUUUAUCCUAAGAGAAAUGGUAAGCCAUUUAAAAGUUUUAAGCAGGGGAGUAACAUAACUGACUUACGUUUCCAAAAAGAUCACUUUGGCUGAAAGUAGAGUAGAUGGGAGUGAGUAGCAGCUGAGAGAGAAGGCAGAAGGCUAUUGCAGAAGUCCUGGGCUAUGAUGACAGUGGCCCACGUUAGGGUGCUGGCAGUGAAGAUGGGUUCCCUAAUGUGUUACAGGUAGAAUCGAUAGUCCUUCUGGUGGAUUGGGCGUGAGGGACAGAGUUGUUAAGGAUGACUCCC